This 1472-nucleotide ribosomal RNA is filed under the name Curtobacterium sp. RNAcentral describes it as "bacterial SSU rRNA". It matches the Rfam family "Bacterial small subunit ribosomal RNA". Lineage: Bacteria; Bacillati; Actinomycetota; Actinomycetes; Micrococcales; Microbacteriaceae. The record is from RNAcentral.
UGGCUCAGGACGAACGCUGGCGGCGUGCUUAACACAUGCAAGUCGAACGAUGAUGCCCAGCUUGCUGGGUGGAUUAGUGGCGAACGGGUGAGUAACACGUGAGUAACCUGCCCCUGACUCUGGGAUAAGCGUUGGAAACGACGUCUAAUACUGGAUAUGACUGCCGGCCGCAUGGUCUGGUGGUGGAAAGAUUUUUUGGUUGGGGAUGGACUCGCGGCCUAUCAGCUUGUUGGUGAGGUAAUGGCUCACCAAGGCGACGACGGGUAGCCGGCCUGAGAGGGUGACCGGCCACACUGGGACUGAGACACGGCCCAGACUCCUACGGGAGGCAGCAGUGGGGAAUAUUGCACAAUGGGCGAAAGCCUGAUGCAGCAACGCCGCGUGAGGGAUGACGGCCUUCGGGUUGUAAACCUCUUUUAGUAGGGAAGAAGCGAAAGUGACGGUACCUGCAGAAAAAGCACCGGCUAACUACGUGCCAGCAGCCGCGGUAAUACGUAGGGUGCAAGCGUUGUCCGGAAUUAUUGGGCGUAAAGAGCUCGUAGGCGGUUUGUCGCGUCUGCUGUGAAAUCCCGAGGCUCAACCUCGGGCUUGCAGUGGGUACGGGCAGACUAGAGUGCGGUAGGGGAGAUUGGAAUUCCUGGUGUAGCGGUGGAAUGCGCAGAUAUCAGGAGGAACACCGAUGGCGAAGGCAGAUCUCUGGGCCGUAACUGACGCUGAGGAGCGAAAGCGUGGGGAGCGAACAGGAUUAGAUACCCUGGUAGUCCACGCCGUAAACGUUGGGCGCUAGAUGUAGGGACCUUUCCACGGUUUCUGUGUCGUAGCUAACGCAUUAAGCGCCCCGCCUGGGGAGUACGGCCGCAAGGCUAAAACUCAAAGGAAUUGACGGGGGCCCGCACAAGCGGCGGAGCAUGCGGAUUAAUUCGAUGCAACGCGUAAGAAUCCUUACCAAGGCUUGACAUACACCGGAAACGGCCAGAGAUGGUCGCCCCCUUGUGGUCGGUGUACAGGUGGUGCAUGGUUGUCGUCAGCUCGUGUCGUGAGAUGUUGGGUUAAGUCCCGCAACGAGCGCAACCCUCGUUCUAUGUUGCCAGCGCGUUAUGGCGGGGACUCAUAGGAGACUGCCGGGGUCAACUCGGAGGAAGGUGGGGAUGACGUCAAAUCAUCAUGCCCCUUAUGUCUUGGGCUUCACGCAUGCUACAAUGGCCGGUACAAAGGGCUGCGAUACCGUAAGGUGGAGCGAAUCCCAAAAAGCCGGUCUCAGUUCGGAUUGAGGUCUGCAACUCGACCUCAUGAAGUCGGAGUCGCUAGUAAUCGCAGAUCAGCAACGCUGCGGUGAAUACGUUCCCGGGCCUUGUACACACCGCCCGUCAAGUCAUGAAAGUCGGUAACACCCGAAGCCGGUGGCCUAACCCUUGUGGAAGGAGCCGUCGAAGGUGGGAUCGGUGAUUAGGACUAAGUCGUAACAAGGUAAC